GAAUAUUGGGCAAUGGGCGCAAGCCUGACCCAGCAACGCCGCGUGAAGGAAGAAGGUUUUCGGAUUGUAAACUUCUGUCCUCAGUGACGAACACAAUGACGGUAACUGAGGAGGAAGCCCAGGCUAACUACGUGCCAGCAGCCGCGGUAAUACGUAGGGGGCAAGCGUUGUCCGGAAUGACUGGGCGUAAAGGGCGUGUAGGAGGCUCUUUAAGUCUGAAGUGAAAGUCCUGCUUUCAAGGUGGGAAUUGCUUUGGAGACUGGAGAGCUUGAGUGCGGAAGAGGUAAGUGGAAUUCCCAGUGUAGCGGUGAAAUGCGUAGAGAUUGGGAGGAACACCAGUGGCGAAGGCGACUUACUGGGCCGUAACUGACGCUGAGGCGCGAAAGCGUGGGGAGCGAACA
This 401-nucleotide ribosomal RNA is filed under the name uncultured bacterium. RNAcentral's name for it is "partial 16S ribosomal RNA". It matches the Rfam family "Bacterial small subunit ribosomal RNA", at positions 359 to 774 of the family's 1533-position model. The record is from RNAcentral.